RNAcentral lists this long non-coding RNA (2417 nucleotides) under Daucus carota (carrot). RNAcentral's name for it is "long non-coding RNA (DCAR_LNC003354)". Lineage: Eukaryota; Viridiplantae; Streptophyta; Magnoliopsida; Apiales; Apiaceae. The record is from RNAcentral.
UCCUCAUCCACAUAACCAUGCAAGAAUGCAUUGUUGAUAUCAAGCUAAUGCAAAAGCCACUGUUUGGUAGUUGCUAGAGCAAUGAGCACCCUUACAGUAGUGAAUAUGACCACAGGACUGAAGGUACAUUUGUAGUCCUUGCUCUUAAUUUGUUUAUCACCCCUAGCCACCAGUCGAGCUUUUCACUUAUUUAGAGAUCUAUCAGGAUUAAACUUGGCCUUAUAGACCCAUUUACAACCAAUAACAGUCUUUCUGGGCAGUAAAGGCAACAAGUCCCAUGUGUGAUUCUUUUCUAAAGCCUGUAACUCAGACUCCACAGCAGCAAUCCAUUUUGCAUCAUUUAUAACCUGAUAAUAGGAUGUAGGCAGUAUCAAGUAAGUGUCUAUACUUUCUCUCAACACAACCAUUUUGUUGAGGAUUACCAAGCACACUCCUCUGAUGAACAAUUCCAAGAGAAGCAAACAAGGUCACACAAAUAUCUUGCACUAUUCAGUGCCAUUAUCACUCCUAACAGUUUUGACAUCAACUCCAAACUGUUUUGUGACAUAAGCAAGGAAAGCAGAUAUAAUCUGAGGUACUUGUGUCUUAGAGUGAAGCAAAGUAGUCUAAGUGUUUCUAGAAUGAUCAUCGAGAAUAGUGAGGAAAUAUGAAGCCCCGGAUAAGGAAGGAGUUUUGUGAGGACCCCAUUGAUCAAUGUGAAUUAACUCAAAACAACAAGAAGCCGUGGAAUUGAAAUCCUAGAAAGGCAACUUGUGAUGUUUUGCUAGCAUACAAGCUUCACAAUGAAAGUUUGAACAAAAUUUUGCAGAAGUCUUGUUAGACAGAUGCUAAAACUUCUGAACAGACAUGUGACCAAGUCUAGUAUGAAACAAUUUAAGAGAAAUCUCAGGUUGAGAAACAUGAUAAGCACUGGUAGACAAACUAGAAUUAGGAGUAAUUAUGAACUUAUAUAAUCCUCUAUGUCCAGUACCAGAGAGUUUAAUAACAAGAGAAUUCUUGUCUUUAAAAGAACAACAUGAUGGUUGAAAAUCAGCAGCCAAAUUAUGUUAAUCUAAAAGCCUUGCAACAGAAAGCAGAUUAUGCUUAAACUCAGGAAUGUGAAACACCUUGGACAGAGUAAUUUCAAAGUUUAGAGAAAUAGUACCAACAGUUUGAACCUUCUUAAUAGUACCAUCAGGCAAAGCAAUGUGAAGAGGUAAGCUGCUCAGUGCUGAGAAAAACACCCAGAGAUAAUGCCAUGUGAUCACUAACUCCUGUAUCAAUUACCCAAACUAAGCUAUAUGAAGUGAUAUUGACAGAAUUAGCUUGUGAAACAGACACAGUGUCUGCAAAAUUCACAAUAGAAUCUGCAGAAGAAUGUGAUGCAGAUUGAUUCAUCUGCAUAAAUCUGUAAAAUCCAUGAUGAGAAUUAUCAACUGGAAAGGAAGAAACCUGAAUAGGAAAAUCUAGUGGAGAUUUUUAAAUGUUUGCAGCAAAACUCUAAUUACUCUUAUUUCCAGAUGUGUUUGCAGUACUAUCAGCUGUCUUGCCCUUGUACUAAUCAGGAUACCCUACCGGUUUUAAACAUUGAUCCUUCAUGUGUCCUUUCAUCUUACGAUGCUCACAAAAUAUAUCAAGCUUAUUUUUCUUAAUAUCUUCGACAUCUUUCUUUGAAGAAAACCUGGAGUUCUGAAAAUUAUUGUUGCUAUUUGUCACAGACAUCAAGGCACUCAUUUCUAGUGACUGAGAAUAAGCCAAUACAUUUUGCCUUUCAAUCUCCGGCAGCAUAUGAUAUACUCGAUUUAUAGGAGACAAAGGAUCCAUACUCAAUAUGUUUAUCUUAGCUUGAUCAUAAGAUUUAUUCAAACCAGCAACAAAUUGAAUCAACUUAUUCGAUUGAUCUCUUUCAACAAUUUUCUUAAGAAAUCCACAAGAACAUUUAAGCAACACACCACAAGAACAUUCAGGCAAUGGCUCCAAAACAUGUAAUUGAUCCCAAACUUUCUUCAGCUUGUUAUAGUAUUGCACAAUUGAAUCAUCAUUCUAUGUAAUAGACAUGAGAUUCUUAUACAAAUCAUACAACUGAGUAGCAUUGGACUGACCGUACAUCAUUCUAUGUAAUAGACAUGAGAUUCUUAUACAAAUCAUACAACUGAGUAGCAUUGGACUGACUGUACAUUUCAGCAAUUUCAAGCAUAAAUCUCGUGUUGAAGGUGUAAAAAUGAAGCUCUUUAUAAUUGACUUGUCAAUUGAAUUAAGCAACCAGCUAGUCACCAUAUAAUCAUUCCUGACCCACUUUUGCAGAUCUUCAGAUUCAUCAGAUUGACGAGCAAGAGAUCCAUCUGUAAAACCGAGUUUAUUCCUGGCUCCAAGUGCCAGAGACACACUACGAUUCCAAUUGACAUAAUUGUUUCCAUUAAAUACAAAAUGACCUAACU